Molecule: ribosomal RNA, 465 nt
Filed under: uncultured bacterium
Lineage: Bacteria
Description: partial 16S ribosomal RNA
Rfam family: Bacterial small subunit ribosomal RNA
Source: RNAcentral
CCUACGGGCGGCAUCAGUGGGGAAUAUUGCGCAAUGGGCGAAAGCCUGACGCAGCGACGCCGCGUGAGGGAUGAAGGUCUUCGGAUCGUAAACCUCUGUCAGCAGGGAAGAACGGUCACUGUGCUAAUCAGCAGUGAAUUGACGGUACCUGCAAAGGAAGCACCGGCUAACUCCGUGCCAGCAGCCGCGGUAAUACGGAGGGUGCGAGCGUUAAUCGGAAUUACUGGGCGUAAAGCGCUCGUAGGCGGUAUGUCAAGUCAAGGGUGAAAUCCCCGCGCUCAACGUGGGAACUGCCUUUGAAACUGGCAAACUGGAGUGUGUGAGAGGAUAGUGGAAUUCCAGGUGUAGGAGUGAAAGCCGUAGAUAUCUGGAGGAACAUCAGUGGCGAAGGCGACUAUCUGGCACAUAACUGACGCUGAGGAGCGAAAGCGUGGGUAGCAAACAGGAUUAGAUACCCCAGUAGUC